UCUUCUGCAUUAUGGGCCCUGUCUGUGUCGGUAGCAAACUUAGCAAUUCAUGGCCUGGUGAAGUGUGUGUGUGUGCCCGUGUGUGUGCGCACACCCGUGCACAAAAGACCAUCAGCAGCAGGAGGGGGGAAUCAAUCACCUCAUCUGCUGGACUGUGCUUUAAUUUUGCCUCCAACUGCACCCCAUUCCUCCCUGUCGCCCUGAGAUUGACAUGGUGGCAUUUGGUACAAAGGCAAGCCUCCUGGUGCCGAACAAGGAGGAGGGCCAGGUGGAAAUCAAUGGCCAGCAAUAUGCACCAGGAAUCAAAUACUGAUGAGCUGCUGCUAUGGAAGGUGGAGGGAGAUGCGUGCGUCUUGCUAUUCCAGAGUUGUAUUGCAAAAGGCAGCAUCGUGUACCCGAAGUGCAGAAAACAAGACUGUGGGACCAUGCAAGCUAUGUCAUAAGAGACUUCCUGAGCAUGCCUGGCAUCUCAGUAUUUUGAAAGAAAGCAUCCAAGAUACUUAUCCAGGCUGUAAACUCACCAUCAGUACAUCCUGCCAACGAAGCCUCAAGUUGCGGACCAAAAAUACUCACGGAUUCAUCCUUGACAUAAGACAAGACAUCUGUUUUCUCUGAUGAUGGCCUUUGAAUCUCUCCUUCAGUUUCCCUGCUUUUUUGCACUACUAAAGAGUAGCAAGCCUCUUUGAGAACUUUUUGUUUUCCCAGCAAGUUUUACAACAUGAGAAUGUUGCCAUAUGCGAGAGAGGGAAAGACACCCCCUUCUCACUGUAUAUUUUAGACUCAGGGUUUCUUUUAAUCUUCCUACGUUGCACAUUACCUCUUCAGUGCACAUAGACUACAUAUUCUUUCAUGAGUUGGGUGGCUGGUUUGUGAAAAACAAUGUUUGGCACAAUGCACAGAUGCUCCAUGAAGCAAUAUUACAACACUCCU
Molecule: long non-coding RNA, 930 nt
Organism: Varanus komodoensis (Komodo dragon)
Lineage: Eukaryota; Metazoa; Chordata; Lepidosauria; Squamata; Varanidae
Exons: 3
Source: RefSeq, a predicted model, not a curated record